This 310-nucleotide long non-coding RNA is filed under the name Carica papaya (papaya). RNAcentral's name for it is "long non-coding RNA (CPAP_LNC014647)". The record is from RNAcentral. Lineage: Eukaryota; Viridiplantae; Streptophyta; Magnoliopsida; Brassicales; Caricaceae.
AGUUCUUCAGUCAUUCAACCCAUAAUUAAUAAAACAGUAAUAUAUGCACUCAAAACUAUAAAAUGAACACAUCAAACCUCAUAAUGCAUUUAAAGCUGUAAAACAAGCCAAAUAACAGUAAAUCAUAAAUCACACUAGACUUGGGCUCCAUUAGCAACCUUAAGCAAUUUCACACAUGCGUUAAUUCAAGAAAUACCGUUUUAUCAUUUUGAACUUUAAUACCGUGAUAGGAAAUAAGGUGAGGGGUCCUUACUUGUUUUCGGGAUCCGAAUACGAUUCACAGUGCGCCUGCAGGCUGUCCCUAAUUUUC